CAACUAACUCGGUCGCUCCUCACCCUGCCUCUCUCCCUUCCCCGUCUCCUCCCUUUCGAGUACCGCCGCCACCGCUGCCGACCCAGCGCAACCAUCGCUCUCACGCGACUGCCCCACCAGCGCCGCCCUUGCCGCACUCCUUCGCCUGCGCCAACCACCGGCGCCAGUCAGCGCUUCGCUCGGCCUCCGCUCGCCAACGCUCCCAACCCACGUGCCCCGUCCCCGAGCGGCGCCGCCAUGGCAGACGAGGUGAAUCUCCCCGCCGCGGAGGUGGGGAAGAAGGCCGUGCAUCCGUCCGAUUCACCCAAGACACCGGCGAAUCGAGGCCUCCUUGGUGUCCUUGGGCUCCUUCCGCCGCCGGCAGCCUCAUACGCCAUGCUCCUGCCUGGCGUUCAGCCUUCCGCGUCGCGCUAGGAGGAGAGGUCGUCGGCGGCCGAUGCAGAGUCCCACGAGCUAUCAGACUGGAUCCCGGAAGCUGUCGAGCUGGGCAUCCCUGCGCCAGCGCCCUGCCCACGGCGGGCCGCAUCCUAAUUUCCCCGUUGGGAUCCCUUCUCAUACAUCCUCUUUCUUGCCACGAUCUGGCCCGCGCUCAACUGGGUCGGCAUCGGGCUGCUGGCCGUCGCCGACGAAUCGGGCGCUGAGGCUCCCGUAUGGCGAAGCUGCUGCGCAUGUCCUCGAUCUACGCGGACGGCUGCUAGCUCCGAGAGGUCAUGGGCGCCAUGUCCAUGGUCGAGGCCGUCAGACCUGAUGCGUUCAAGGCCGCCUCUGGCUCCCCAUCCAUCCACGACGCCACUUCACCACCAACGCAUGAUGGAUCCGACCGCUGCUCAGACCAGGAGCUUUUCGACCGGAUCUGCAGCGCCAUAAAAUUCAACGAGGAUGAGGAAAGGAUUUUAAUAAAUUAUGACCUCUUCUGAAAAGAAUUAUGUUUGUUUCGCCUUACCAGUUUGCUUCAGGCUCGAAAUGAAACAAUAACAUCAAGACGAGUUUUUUAAUCGACUGUUGGUUGGGUGAUCUACCCGCAGCAAAUGAGAACCUGGUGUGAAGAGGAGGCAGCGAGAGAUUGAAAGGGGAAGAUAGUGUGAGCGAGGAGGAAGAGCAGAACCACGGUGGUGCGCGCAUCUCCGAGUGGCCCUUGCGAUCGGAAAACCACCUCACAGAGUCAUCUUCCAAGCUUAUCUCCGCGAAAUGCCAACCUCCAUAGAAAAGUAAGACUAGAAGAAGAUCUGGGAGGACUUCCGCACCUAGACUGAUGUUUAGGUAAUACAAAUUCAUCGGGGAUGGUCCUUUUUAAUUUCUGAGCCAUUGAGCGAAUUGUUGAUCUCAUUUUAAUGCUUGAUGUGGUGCUUUUUAGUGUUUGUUACUGUAUUUGUAUUGUACGCAGAGCCGUAGGACAUCCAGGAGCUCUCGAGUGAGCAACCAAAUAUCACUGUAUGCAUCGAGCCCCUUCUCUGCUCCCGAGCGCAGACGGUGAACGCUGGCGGCGGCCAUGCCCCUUGUCCUCGUCCUUCUCCGUAAAGGCAUGCCAUGGCUGCCGCUACACAGCACGACGGCGGCAAGGAGGAGAACGCUCGAAGAAGAAGGGGCAGCGCUGAUACGUCCAAAACGUAUCUACUUUCCCGAACACUUUUGCUAUUAUUUUGCCUCUAAUUUGUGUAUUUUGGAUGCAACUAACACGGACUAACGCUGUUUUCAGCAGAACUGUUCUGGUGUCUCGUUUUUGUGCAGAAAUCCAACUUUCUGGAAAAUCCUCGGAAU
This is a long non-coding RNA of Lolium perenne, 1758 nucleotides long. RefSeq lists it as uncharacterized. Lineage: Eukaryota; Viridiplantae; Streptophyta; Magnoliopsida; Poales; Poaceae. The record is from RefSeq and is a predicted model, not a curated record.